Molecule: ribosomal RNA, 1315 nt
Filed under: Bacillus sp. (in: firmicutes)
Lineage: Bacteria; Bacillati; Bacillota; Bacilli; Caryophanales; Bacillaceae
Description: bacterial SSU rRNA
Rfam family: Bacterial small subunit ribosomal RNA
Source: RNAcentral
UGCAGUCGAGCGGACAGAUGGGNNGCUUGCUCCCUGAUGUUAGCGGCGGACGGGUGAGUAACACGUGGGUAACCUGCCUGUAANNNNGGGAUAACUCCGGGAAACCGGGGCUAAUACCGGAUGCUUGUUUGAACCGCAUGGUUCAAACAUAAAAGGUGGCUUCGGCUACCACUUACAGAUGGACCCGCGGCGCAUUAGCUAGUUGGUGAGGUAACGGCUCACCAAGGCAACGAUGCGUAGCCNACCUGAGAGGGUGAUCGGCCACACUGGGACUGAGACACGGCCCAGACUCCUACGGGAGGCAGCAGUAGGGAAUCUUCCGCAAUGGACGAAAGUCUGACGGAGCAACGCCGCGUGAGUGAUGAAGGUUUUCGGAUCGUAAAGCUCUGUUGUUAGGGAAGAACAAGUACCGUUCGAAUAGGGCGGUACCUUGACGGUACCUAACCAGAAAGCCACGGCUAACUACGUGCCAGCAGCCGCGGUAAUACGUAGGUGGCAAGCGUUGUCCGGAAUUAUUGGGCGUAAAGGGCUCGCAGGCGGUUCCUUAAGUCUGAUGUGAAAGCCCCCGGCUCAACCGGGGAGGGUCAUUGGAAACUGGGGAACUUGAGUGCAGAAGAGGAGAGUGGAAUUCCACGUGUAGCGGUGAAAUGCGUAGAGAUGUGGAGGAACACCAGUGGCGAAGGCGACUCUCUGGUCUGUAACUGACGCUGAGGAGCGAAAGCGUGGGGAGCGAACAGGAUUAGAUACCCCUGGUAGUCCACGCCGUAAACGAUGAGUGCUAAGUGUUAGGGGGUUUCCGCCCCUUAGUGCUGCAGCUAACGCAUUAAGCACUCCGCCUGGGGAGUACGGUCGCAAGACUGAAACUCAAAGGAAUUGACGGGGGCCCGCACAAGCGGUGGAGCAUGUGGUUUAAUUCGAAGCAACGCGAAGAACCUUACCAGGUCUUGACAUCCUCUGACAAUCCUAGAGAUAGGACGUCCCCUUCGGGGGCAGAGUGACAGGUGGUGCAUGGUUGUCGUCAGCUCGUGUCGUGAGAUGUUGGGUUAAGUCCCGCAACGAGCGCAACCCUUGAUCUUAGUUGCCAGCAUUCAGUUGGGCACUCUAAGGUGACUGCCGGUGACAAACCGGAGGAAGGUGGGGAUGACGUCAAAUCAUCAUGCCCCUUAUGACCUGGGCUACACACGUGCUACAAUGGACAGAACAAAGGGCAGCGAAACCGCGAGGUUAAGCCAAUCCCACAAAUCUGUUCUCAGUUCGGAUCGCAGUCUGCAACUCGACUGCGUGAAGCNGGAAUCGCUAGUANNCGNNGNUCAGC